UUGAAGUACAAGUUCCCGUACGAUCGCCGAAGUUAAGCAACGUAGAUCCUGGUCAGUACCUAGAUGGGUGACUGCUUGGGAAUACCAAGUGCUGUAAG
Molecule: non-coding RNA, 98 nt
Organism: Acanthosepion pharaonis
Lineage: Eukaryota; Metazoa; Mollusca; Cephalopoda; Sepiida; Sepiidae
Source: the annotation of a GenBank genome assembly